UGGGGGAUAUUGCACAAUGGGGGAAACCCUGAUGCAGCCAUGCCGCGUGUAUGAAGAAGGCUUUCGGGUUGUAAAGUACUUUCGGUAAUGAGGAAGGUGUAUUAUCUAACAGGUAAUACAAUUGACGUUAGUUACAGAAGAAGCACCGGCUAACUCCGUGCCAGCAGCCGCGGUAAUACGGAGGGUGCGAGCGUUAAUCGGAAUAACUGGGCGUAAAGGGCAUGCAGGCGGGUCAUUAAGUUAGGUGUGAAAUCCCCGGGCUCAACCUGGGAACUGCACUUAAAACUGGUGGUCUGGAGUAUUGUAGAGGAAGGUAGAAUUCCACGUGUAGCGGUGAAAUGCGUAGAGAUGUGGAGGAAUACCGGUGGCGAAGGCGGCCUUCUGGACAAAUACUGACGCUGAGAUGCGAAAGCGUGGGGAGCAAACAGG
RNAcentral lists this ribosomal RNA (429 nucleotides) under uncultured Pasteurellales bacterium. Its description in RNAcentral is "bacterial SSU rRNA". It matches the Rfam family "Bacterial small subunit ribosomal RNA", at positions 355 to 776 of the family's 1533-position model. Lineage: Bacteria; Pseudomonadati; Pseudomonadota; Gammaproteobacteria; Pasteurellales. The record is from RNAcentral.